GCCGCGGUAGCUCAGCUGGGAGGCAUGCCCAAGAGCGCCUGGCUGAAGACCAGGAGGUCCCGGGUUCAAAUCCCGGCCGCGGCACCA
RNAcentral lists this transfer RNA (87 nucleotides) under Thermofilum sp. RNAcentral's name for it is "tRNA-Phe". It matches the Rfam family "tRNA". Rfam says of the family: Transfer RNA (tRNA) molecules are approximately 80 nucleotides in length. Their secondary structure includes four short double-helical elements and three loops (D, anti-codon, and T loops). The record is from RNAcentral. Lineage: Archaea; Thermoproteati; Thermoproteota; Thermoprotei; Thermofilales; Thermofilaceae.